GACGAACGCUGGCGGCGUGCCUAAUACAUGCAAGUUGAGCGCUGAAGGUUGGUACUUGUACCCACUGGAUGAGCAGCGAACGGGUGAGUAACGCGUGGGGAAUCUGCCUUUGAGCGGGGGACAACAUUUGGAAACGAAUGCUAAUACCGCAUAAAAACUUUAAACACAAGUUUUAAGUUUGAAAGAUGCAAUUGCAUCACUCAAAGAUGAUCCCGCGUUGUAUUAGCUAGUUGGUGAGGUAAAGGCUCACCAAGGGGAUGAUACAUAGCCGACCUGGGAGGGUGAUCGGCCACAGUGGGACUGAGACACGGCCCAAACUCCUACGGGAGGCAGCAGUAGGGAAUCUUCGGCAAUGGACGAAAGUCUGACCGAGCAACGCCGCGUGAGGGAAGAAGGUUUUCGGAUCGUAAAACUCUGUUGGUAGAGAAGAACGUUGGUGAGAGUGGAAAGCUCAUCAAGUGACGGUAACUACACAGAAAGGGACGGCUAACUACGUG
Molecule: ribosomal RNA, 497 nt
Filed under: uncultured bacterium
Lineage: Bacteria
Description: partial 16S ribosomal RNA
Rfam family: Bacterial small subunit ribosomal RNA
Source: RNAcentral